CCCUCUUUUUCCCUCUUUUUUCGGAAUUAUUGGGCGUAAAGCGCGUGUAGGCGGCUUGGCAAGUCAGAUGUGAAAGCCCUCGGCUUAACCGAGGAAGUGCGUCUGAAACUGCUGAGCUUGAGUCUCGGAGAGGAUGGCGGAAUUCCGCAAGUAGGGGUGAAAUUCGUAGAUAUGCGGAGGAACACCGGUGGCGAAGGCGGCCAUCUGGACGAGUACUGACGCUGAGACGCGAAAGCGUGGGGAGCAAACAGGA
This 253-nucleotide ribosomal RNA is filed under the name uncultured prokaryote. RNAcentral describes it as "partial 16S ribosomal RNA". It matches the Rfam family "Bacterial small subunit ribosomal RNA", at positions 547 to 777 of the family's 1533-position model. The record is from RNAcentral.